AAGCGCCGGUAAGGUGAUAUGAACCGUUAUAACCGGCGAUUUCCGAAUGGGGAAACCCAGUGUGACUCGUCACACUAUCAUUAACUGAAUCCAUAGGUUAAUGAGGCGAACCGGGGGAACUGAAACAUCUAAGUACCCCGAGGAAAAGAAAUCAACCGAGAUUCCCCCAGUAGCGGCGAGCGAACGGGGAGGAGCCCAGAGCCUGAAUCAGCAUGUGUGUUAGUGGAAGCGUCUGGAAAGGCGCGCGAUACAGGGUGACAGCCCCGUACACAAAAGCGCAUGUGCUGUGAGCUCGAUGAGUAGGGCGGGACACGUGGUAUCCUGUCUGAAUAUGGGGGGACCAUCCUCCAAGGCUAAAUACUCCUGACUGACCGAUAGUGAACCAGUACCGUGAGGGAAAGGCGAAAAGAACCCCGGCGAGGGGAGUGAAAAAGAACCUGAAACCGU
Molecule: ribosomal RNA, 447 nt
Filed under: Salmonella enterica subsp. enterica serovar Heidelberg
Lineage: Bacteria; Pseudomonadati; Pseudomonadota; Gammaproteobacteria; Enterobacterales; Enterobacteriaceae
Also listed under: 1 other name
Description: partial 23S ribosomal RNA
Rfam family: Bacterial large subunit ribosomal RNA
Source: RNAcentral